UACGGAGGAUUCGAGCGUUAUCCGGAUUUACUGGGUUUAAAGGGUGCGUAGGUGGAAUGUCAAGUCAGUGGUGAAAACCUGCAGCUUAACUGUAGAACUGCCAUUGAUACUGUCAUUCUUGAGUGUAUUUGAUGUAAGUGGAAUGUGUCGUGUAGCGGUGAAAUGCUUAGAUAUGACACAGAACACCCAUUGCGAAGGCAGCUUACAAAACUACUACUGACACUGAGGCACGAAAGCGUGGGGAUCAAACAGG
RNAcentral lists this ribosomal RNA (253 nucleotides) under uncultured prokaryote. Its description in RNAcentral is "partial 16S ribosomal RNA". It matches the Rfam family "Bacterial small subunit ribosomal RNA", at positions 524 to 776 of the family's 1533-position model. The record is from RNAcentral.